Molecule: ribosomal RNA, 301 nt
Filed under: uncultured bacterium
Lineage: Bacteria
Description: partial 16S ribosomal RNA
Rfam family: Bacterial small subunit ribosomal RNA
Source: RNAcentral
CAGUAGCCGCGGUAAUACAGAGGGUGCAAGCGUUACUCGGAAUUACUGGGCGUAAAGCGUGCGUAGGUGGUGGUUUAAGUCCGUUGUGAAAGCCCUGGGCUCAACCUGGGAAUUGCAGUGGAUACUGGGUCACUAGAGUGUGGUAGAGGAUAGUGGAAUUUCCGGUGUAGCAGUGAAAUGCGUAGAGAUCGGAAGGAACAUCUGUGGCGAAGGCGACUAUCUGGGCCAACACUGACACUGAGGCACGAAAGCGUGGGGAGCAAACAGGAUUAGAUACCCGGGUAGUCCCUGUCUCUUAUAC